ACAGCAGUCGCCGCGGGAAUACGUAGGUGGCAAGCGUUGUCCGGAAUUAUUGGGCGUAAAGGGCUCGCAGGCGGUUUCUUAAGUCUGAUGUGAAAGCCCCCGGCUCAACCGGGGAGGGUCAUUGGAAACUGGGAAACUUGAGUGCAGAAGAGGAGAGUGGAAUUCCACGUGUAGCGGUGAAAUGCGUAGAGAUGUGGAGGAACACCAGUGGCGAAGGCGACUCUCUGGUCUGUAACUGACGCUGAGGAGCGAAAGCGUGGGGAGCAAACAGGAUUAGAUACCCCCGUAGUCCCUGUCUCUUAUCA
RNAcentral lists this ribosomal RNA (305 nucleotides) under uncultured bacterium. RNAcentral's name for it is "partial 16S ribosomal RNA". It matches the Rfam family "Bacterial small subunit ribosomal RNA", at positions 508 to 809 of the family's 1533-position model. The record is from RNAcentral.